AACGAACGCUGGCGGCAUGCCUAACACAUGCAAGUCGAACGAGAUCUUCGGGUCUAGUGGCGCACGGGUGCGUAACGCGUGGGAAUCUGCCCUUUGGUUCGGAAUAACAGUUGGAAACGACUGCUAAUACCGGAUGAUGACGAAAGUCCAAAGAUUUAUCGCCAGAGGAUGAGCCCGCGUAGGAUUAGCUAGUUGGUGUGGUAAAGGCGCACCAAGGCGACGAUCCUUAGCUGGUCUGAGAGGAUGAUCAGCCACACUGGGACUGAGACACGGCCCAGAAUGCUACGGGAGGCAGCAGUGGGAAAUAUUGGACAAUGGGCGAAAGCCUGCUCCAGCAAUGCCGCGUGAGUGAUGAAGGCCUUAGGGUUGUAAAGCUCUUUUACCCGGGAUGAUAAUGACAGUACCGGGAGAAUAAGCUCCGGCUAACUCCGUGCCAGCCGCCGCCGUAA
This 449-nucleotide ribosomal RNA is filed under the name uncultured bacterium. Its description in RNAcentral is "partial 16S ribosomal RNA". It matches the Rfam family "Bacterial small subunit ribosomal RNA", at positions 29 to 523 of the family's 1533-position model. The record is from RNAcentral.